AAUCGUCGGUCUCCGUAGGUGAACCUGCGGAGGGAUCAUUACACAAAUAUGAAGGCGGGCUGGAACCUCUCGGGGUUACAGCCUUGCUGAAUUAUUCACCCUUGUCUUUUGCGUACUUCUUGUUUCCUUGGUGGGUUCGCCCACCACUAGGACAAACAUAAACCUUUUGUAAUUGCAAUCAGCGUCAGUAACAAAUUAAUAAUUACAACUUUCAACAACGGAUCUCUUGGUUCUGGCAUCGAUGAAGAACGCAGCGAAAUGCGAUAAGUAGUGUGAAUUGCAGAAUUCAGUGAAUCAUCGAAUCUUUGAACGCACAUUGCGCCCUUUGGUAUUCCAAAGGGCAUGCCUGUUCGAGCGUCAUUUGUACCCUCAAGCUUUGCUUGGUGUUGGGCGUCUUGUCUCUAGCUUUGCUGGAGACUCGCCUUAAAGUAAUUGGCAGCCGGCCUACUGGUUUCGGAGCGCAGCACAAGUCGCACUCUCUAUCAGCAAAGGUCUAGCAUCCAUUAAGCCUUUUUUUCAACUUUUGACCUCGGAUCAGGUAGGGAUACCCGCUGAACUUAAGCAUAUCAGAC
This 572-nucleotide ribosomal RNA is filed under the name Alternaria alternata. RNAcentral's name for it is "eukaryotic LSU rRNA". The stretch from base 207 to 360 matches the Rfam family "5.8S ribosomal RNA". Lineage: Eukaryota; Fungi; Ascomycota; Dothideomycetes; Pleosporales; Pleosporaceae. The record is from RNAcentral.